CAGAGGACAUAUAAAAUAACUGUUGCCUGGAAAGUCUGACCUGGAACAGAGACUAGACAGAGCAAAAGGGAUAAAAUAGGAAUUUAUUGAAAGGAUUC
Molecule: non-coding RNA, 98 nt
Organism: Sturnus vulgaris (Common starling)
Lineage: Eukaryota; Metazoa; Chordata; Aves; Passeriformes; Sturnidae
Source: RefSeq, a predicted model, not a curated record